CUGAGGGGAGAAAGGACAAGAAAAGAACAGCAGCUUCAGUAUGAGCUACAGAUUUCCUCUGAGGCCAUCAUGUCAGCUGCUUCAUUUCCAGGAACCUGGAAGGGAAAUUCUGACAACAGGGCUCUGGGACUGCUGACCCAAAAAAUCAUUAUUGUACUUCAGCCUUCCACUGGAUGGACCCAGUUCCUAUUCUUGAAGCAGCUUAGGGAACAAAUAGUGCUCAAUAUAUAAUUUAUAACUUUA
This is a non-coding RNA of Cyanistes caeruleus (blue tit), 243 nucleotides long. Lineage: Eukaryota; Metazoa; Chordata; Aves; Passeriformes; Paridae. The record is from RefSeq and is a predicted model, not a curated record.